CUACGGGUGGCUCCAGUGAGGAAUAUUGCACAAUGGGGGGAACCCUGAUGCAGCAACGCCGCGUGGAGGAUGACGCAUUUCGGUGUGUAAACUCCUUUUAUAUGUCAAGAAAAUGACGGUAGCAUAUGAAUAAGCACCGGCUAACUCCGUGCCAGCAGCCGCGGGAAUACGGAGGGUGCAAGCGUUACUCGGAAUCACUGGGCGUAAAGGACGCGUAGGCGGGUUGGAAAGUCAGGUGUGAAAUCCUACAGCUUAACUGUAGAACUGCACUUGAAACUUCUAAUCUAGAGUAUGGGAGGGGUAGAUGGAAUUAGUGGUGUAGGGGUAAAAUCCGUAGAUAUCACUAGGAACACCUAAAGCGAAGGCGAUCUCCUGGAACAUUACUGACGCUAAGGCGUGAAAGCGUGGGGAGCAAACAGGAUUAGAUACCCCAGUAGUC
Molecule: ribosomal RNA, 439 nt
Filed under: uncultured bacterium
Lineage: Bacteria
Description: partial 16S ribosomal RNA
Rfam family: Bacterial small subunit ribosomal RNA
Source: RNAcentral